GGCACGAACGUAGAGGUCAGGCUAGGGCUGACGAUGCUGGCUAAGCGGGGCUGCCCAUCUGGGAAGUCGUCGUCGUAGUCACCGAUGUCCGUGACCUUCCAGAGCCUCUGGUAACCACUGUUCUACUCAAUACUUCUAUGAGAUAAACUUCUUUGGAUUCCACAUAUGAUCAAGAUCAUGAGGAAGGAGGAGCAAGUCUUCUUUGUCAUGCUGUUAAGAAAACACCCAGAGUCACAGCACCAUAAUCUCCUUGUGGAGCAGAACAAGUAAUAUAAAACUGAUCUAAAGAGGCCUCCCCUCUA
This 302-nucleotide non-coding RNA is filed under the name Pongo abelii (Sumatran orangutan). Lineage: Eukaryota; Metazoa; Chordata; Mammalia; Primates; Hominidae. The record is from RNAcentral.